GUGGGUAUAUCUCAGUGGUAGAGCCCAUGCUUAGCAUACAUGAGGUCUUGGGUUCAAUCCCCAGUACCUCCA
RNAcentral lists this transfer RNA (72 nucleotides) under Camelus bactrianus (Bactrian camel). It matches the Rfam family "tRNA". Rfam says of the family: Transfer RNA (tRNA) molecules are approximately 80 nucleotides in length. Their secondary structure includes four short double-helical elements and three loops (D, anti-codon, and T loops). The record is from Rfam by way of RNAcentral. RNAcentral also lists the same sequence under 2 other names. Lineage: Eukaryota; Metazoa; Chordata; Mammalia; Artiodactyla; Camelidae.